UUCUCUUCUAUUAUUAAGCACUCCUUCAAUGAAUAAUAGUGUGCUGUCCAAGUAGCAGAAUUUAGAGUGUUUAAUCCUACACUGUUGGCACAAUACUUUGGCUGUGUUCCAGUACUUGUGUUCUUCCAGCAAACUUAAAAUCAAUAAUAGGAGGGUUAAUUCUGGAAUCUUCUCAGUACUGAAACUGAAACUGACUACACUGUAAUGACAAAAGUCACCUUUGUGUAUUUAUUUACUUUUAGAAAACAAUGCUUGAGAGUGUGUAUUUUACAUGUAGAGUGUCUGUAAGGUUUACAACUGUCUUUGCAUAUGAACAACAGUUUCUCAUAGAGCUGUUCAAUUUUUUUCUUGUUUCCACAGAAAAUUUGUGCCCUGGGCUCAUGAUAUUUUUAUUUUUCCCCCUUCAUGACACUGUUUAGAAUACCAGGGAUGUUUGUCAUGAUAAGAGGAUUCCAACAAGGACUUGUCAUAGGCAAUUGCAUGCAAUUUGGUUAAGUAUGAGGUUGUGGGUGUGGAUUUUGUCCUUGACACAGCAUCUCUGCUAAAUUACUGGCAGUAGUUUGUGGCUGUUCUGGCUGUUCAGGAAUAUAAAGCCCUGAAAUAGAUUAUACUCUUAUUUUUGAUGUCUGGAGCACCCACAGGACACAAAGUAUACACUUUCUGAAUUAUUCUUUCCCUUUCAGACCCUUUUCUUGUCUCAAGCGAUCUGUUAUUUCCUUUCUCAUCUCUUUGUUUCUUCUUAUCUGUCUUAACUAUACUUUCUCCUACACAAGGGAAGACGUUUUCCUCUAUGUUUUUUUUUUGUUUGCAAUUCCACAAAGAGCAAGUCCUCUAAGAUAAUAUUUUCCAAGAAUGGCCUAAACUGAUUUGAAUCAGUGUCUAUUACAUGUGUGAUUUUCAAUAAACAGUGAUGACGAUAAUAAUGAACUCACUGAAUCAUGUACCCAGGACUGCGAGGGAUUCACGAAUACCUCUAAAGAUAUGCAAGAAACUGGUGAUACCAGAAAUCCCUGGAGAAUUAUGGAGCAGUGGGGAAGAGAGGUAUCAAGAUAAUGCCACUGGGGAGACUAGUUUGGUAGGAUGAGCAACGUCAAGUGACUUUACCUGUGGAGAGAUUGGAUGGCUACUCACUUGGGCAUUUUAUAAAAAUACCGGGAAGUGUUCUCCAGCUGCAAGUCCUCCUAUGCAAUCAAGACUGACGAGGUUCUACACCUAAGGAAAGAAAGAGGAGGGCAUGUAGGUAAGAAAGGCAUUUGCUUGCAGGUGACUGAAUGCCCAACAAGGACUGCCUUACAGACAAGGGUAAUUUUUCUCACAUAAUGGGAAGUCUGGCAGUAAAGCAGGUAUUGGCCUUGAUUCAGCUGCUUACAAACUUUAUCGGGUACUCAGGGUCCUUUCCUUUUUUGCUAGGGUGCUAGCUUUUACUUUUAUAUUCAUCACCCCAUGGUUGCAAGAUGGUUGCUGUCACAUCCAGAUUUCACUUUUAUUUUCAAAACCUGAGGGGUGUUAAGAUGCCAGCCUUUUAUGAAGAGAGCAAAGACUUUCCAGAGUUUUCCCCAGCAGACCUCUGCUUGCAUUUCAUUGUCACAUGGGCACUGCCAGCUGGAUUGGAGCCUGGAAAAGCAAGAGACAGGACUAUCACAAUUGGCUUAGACCAAGGGUCGGCAAACUUUUUCUGUAACAGGCCAGAUAGUAAAUAUUUUAGGCUUUGCAGGCCAUACGGUCUCUGUUGUAAUCACUCAAUUCUGCCGUUCUAGCAUGAAAGCCGCCAUAGAUAAUCCAUAAAUGAUUGAGUGUUGCUCUAUUCCAAUAACACUUUAUUUAUGGACACUGAAAUUUGAUAUAACUCUCACAUAUUAUGAAACACUAUUCUUCUUUUGAUUUGUUUCAACCACUCAAAAAUGUACAAACUAAUCUCAGUUCCCAGGCCAUAUAAAAACAGAUGGUAGGCCUGAUUUGGCCCCCGAGCCCAGAGUUUGCCAAUCCCUGGCUGGGACCAAGGACAACCCAUCAACUGGAUCUGGGCAAAAAGCUACGACAAAGUUCUAAUAGUGGUGUUCUAAUAGUUAUCUCUAAAGAAGAAAUGAACACGGGAUAGGCAGCUAACAAUGCUGCGACUAAGAGUAGUUUUUAUUUUCUACAUGCAUAAGCUUUCAUAUAAAAUAUUUGGUAUACGGCUAUAAUAUUUUAAUUCCUUUCUCUUUCUUCCACUUUAAUCUACAUUUUUUUUUUCUUAUUCAUAAAGAGCUCUUCUCUGCUCCAUUAGAGUAGCUGGUAUCCAGACCCUGGGUUUUUAAGUAAUUAAUA
This is a long non-coding RNA of Acinonyx jubatus (cheetah), 2307 nucleotides long. RefSeq lists it as uncharacterized. The record is from RefSeq and is a predicted model, not a curated record. The transcript is spliced from 4 exons. NCBI's taxonomy places the organism in Eukaryota, Metazoa, Chordata, Mammalia, Carnivora, Felidae.